Tyto alba (common barn owl) is the source of this 3959-nucleotide RNA transcript. It is a transcript of the gene named transmembrane and coiled-coil domains 3, with no coding region annotated. The record is from RefSeq and is a predicted model, not a curated record. The transcript has 12 exons. NCBI's taxonomy places the organism in Eukaryota, Metazoa, Chordata, Aves, Strigiformes, Tytonidae.
GUAACCGGCGGGGGGGCGGGGGGGGCGGCCGUUGCCAAGGACGGGACUCCUCGGUGCUUUCCCUCAGCGGCCAUCACCCCCUGUGCCCGCCGCGCUGCGAUCCUGACCUUUCCCGCUGGCCGCUGCCGGCCCUUCUCCCUCCCUCCCUCCCUCCCUCAGUGUGGUAUGCGUAAUGGAGAUGCAGAAACCAUGUAGCAGAAAGCUUUGAGCAGUUGUGGAUUAUCAGUUUCUCCCAACAGCAACAAAAAGUGAAGAAUGAAGGCGACUGGAUUUAUUUCCCUAUGGACGUUGGUUUCACUGCCAUGUGGCCAGUUAGCCAAUCCUGCAGAACGUGAAGAUGUAGUAAAGCAUGCAAUAAAGCUGCACCGUGGGAAAGGAGCUGUUAUCACUCAGAGAAAGCAGUGGGUGUUGGAGAGCUGCAGAAAACUCUCUGGUCUUCUUCGCCAAAAGAAUGUUGUUCUCAACAAACUAAAAAGUGCUAUAAGAGCAGUUGAGAAGGAUGCAGGACUGUCAGACGAAGAGAAACUUUUUCAGGUGCAUACCUUUGAAAUUUUCCAAAAGGAGCUAAAUGAAAGUGAAAACUCAGUCUUUCAAGCAAUCCAUGGCCUUCAGAGAGCUCUACAGGGUGAUUACAAAGAUGUUGUAAAUAUGAAAGAAAGCAGCAGGCAGAGACUGGAAGCCUUGAGAGAAGCUGCAAUUAAGGAAGAAAUGGAAUAUGUCGAACUCUUAGCAGCAGAAAAACAUCAGGUUGAAGCCCUUAAGAACAUGCAGCAUCAAAACAAAAGCCUGUCAAUGCUUGAUGAAAUUCUGGAAGAUGUGAGAAAAGCAGCUGAUAGAUUGGAAGAAGAAAUAGAAGAGCAUGCCUUUGAUGACAACAAAUCUGUAAGAGGUGUAAACUUUGAAGCAGUUUUGCGGGUGGAAGAAGAUGAGGCUAACUCCAAAAGAAAUGCUUCAAAAAGAGAAGUAGAGGAUGACUUAGGUCUUAGUAUGCUUAUUGAUUCCCAGAACAAUCAGUAUAUCCUUACCAAGCCCAGAGAUUCAACCAUUCCUCGUGCUGAUCAUCAUUUCAUAAAGGAUAUUGUGACAAUAGGAAUGUUGUCUUUGCCAUGUGGCUGGCUGUGCACAACAAUAGGAUUGCCAACCAUGUUUGGGUAUAUCAUCUGUGGAGUACUCUUAGGACCAUCAGGACUAAAUAGUAUCAAAUCUAUUGUACAGGUGGAGACAUUAGGAGAGUUUGGGGUAUUCUUCACUCUCUUUCUAGUUGGUCUGGAAUUUUCUCCUGAAAGAUUAAGAAAGGUCUGGAAAAUAUCAUUGCAAGGACCAUGCUACAUGACGGUUCUGAUGAUUGCCUUUGGUUUACUGUGGGGACACUUGCUCCAGAUUAGACCAACACAAAGUGUCUUCAUUUCUACUUGUUUAUCUUUAUCAAGCACGCCAUUGGUGUCAAGAUUUCUUGCAGGUAGUGUUCGAGGUGAUAAAGAAGGGGAUAUUGACUACAGCAGCGUACUACUUGGCAUGUUGGUGAUGCAGGAUGUGCAGCUUGGUUUAUUUAUAGCUGUCAUGCCUACACUUAUUCAAGCAGGAGUGAGCACAUAUUCCAGCAUUUUCAAGGAAAUACUGAGAAUACUGAUACUGAUUGGCCAAAUUCUCUUUUCUCUGGCUGCUGUUUUUCUUAUAUGUCUUGUUAUAAAGACUUAUCUCAUAGGACCGUAUUAUCGCAAGUUGCAUGCAGAAAGCAAAGGGAAUAAAGAAAUCCUCAUUCUAGGAAUAACUGCAUUCAUCUUCCUUAUGUUAACGAUCACAGAGCUGUUGGAUGUUUCAAUGGAGCUGGGAUGCUUCUUAGCUGGAGCUCUGAUCUCUUCUCAGGGUCACAUGGUUACCGAGGAGAUUAUGUCCUGUAUUGAACCAAUACGUGACUUUCUUGCCAUCAUUUUCUUUGCAUCCAUAGAUGCUUACCUCCACGGGAUUGGUAGAGAAAUCUGUGGUAGUUUGUGCCUCAGCUCUUUGGAAUAUGGUAACCGUCUCCACAUCGGGCAGCAGUUCAAACAGACUUCUGAGUGCCUGUCUGCUUCAGAACUGAAAAGGUAGCUCCACCAGUAGUGAUGACAGCACUAGGCUGUAUUUAUAGCCUCCCUCUGAAAUCUUCAAUUCCAGAUGUGGCAGAGUUGGCCCUCUUAUCAAACAUGACUUUGUUACAGACUGUAUUUCUCUGUUUGCUUUUGUGUGCUUCUGAGACUGGCCUAAAGGUGAAUGGGGAAUGUGCACGAUACACAGUAGAAAAAGAGAAGUUACUGUCCCUCCACGUGCACGUGUGCACACAUUUGGAUUUUGUGUGUGUGUGUGUGUGUGUGGUAUUUUUUUCUCUUAUUCUGCCAUCUCUCCCCUUACUCUGAUAGUCUUUUGCAUUUGCGCUUCAGUAGUUAGAAGGAAAAUGAGCACUAAAACAGGGUGUGUACAUGCUGACUGGGUAGUACUUGUCUAAAAAUCUCUGAUGUACUUGAAGUACAUUUCCAUCCACAAUGGAAUGUGUGUACGGACAAACCAUUGUGAAGUUACUGUAAGUAACUUCUCUUGCGUGCUCAGGAAGAGAAGAUGACUCUUAGUUCUCUACAGUUUUUCUGGCUCUGCAGCACUAUGGGGCAGGGAAAAUUAGUGAAAACUGGUCUUGCGUUAAAAUAAGAAGUUAUACCAUCAGUUUACAUGUGUCGUACUUUAGAAAGCUAAACUCUUGCCCUUCACCAGAAGUAAUUGGGUUGGAGAACUGCCAACUAUUACGGAUUUACCAGGAACACCACCACUAUUUUGGUUACUUGUUUUAAGAGCUUUUAUGAAAAAGGACUGAGACUUCCAAAGAUACACCGUUAUGUAUGCCUGCAUGAGUUCCUCAUACCCUAGGAUGGAAAAGUGGACUUAGCUGUGAGUAAGAUUCUUCCUCAGUGACUCCAGGACUUCACCAACAAAUACUUCUUUUAAUACGUUUAAUAUUAGCAGGAUUUAGUUUUAAACUUCUGUGCUCUUUAUGGUUCUCGUUAUCUUGCUUCAUAUAAUUACAGAAUUAAAAUUAGAAAAAAAAUUCAAAAAACAAGAAAAAAAAAGACAUCUCCUGUCCCCCCCAAAAACCAACGCAACCCAACAUCAUAGCAAUGGGGCUUUAUAUAAUUCCUUAAUUACAUAAAUGAUAUAACUAUUUGUAUAUAAUUUUAUAUUUAUAUAUAAUUAUAUAAAAAACUACCGUGUUUAGACUGGAAUCAGGUGAAGUCAUAAACCCCUAAGUGACUUUUCCAAUUCAGGUGACUUUGAGUGUUUGCAAGUGAGGGUCAUAGGAUCAAAGCAGUUACAUUUUCUGUUGUAGCUACAGUCUGUGCAAGUACUGAGUAUCAUGUUCCUCCCACAGUCAUAGUCCAUUACCAUGUCAUACAAAAAUGUUAAAUGGCUAGCAAAGUGUAUGUUACAGUCACUGUGCAGAACAAUGGAAUUGUUUUCCUGCAGUAUUUUUAUAGCUUUCAUUAGAGGUGUGUUUGAGUUCAGAUUCUGGUUUGUUGACUGGUGUGGAAGGGAGAAAACUUUAUAAACGAAACUGCUCAUUCAACAGUUGCAUACAAUUUAACUCAGUUUGGGAAUACUGCUUGUGCUAAACCCCUCCAAAGGAAAAAUGGUUGGAUAAUGCAGGAAGUGCGUCAGUGAUCAAGUAAGUAGUGGUGGUAGGUAUGUUAGGGCUUUUUGUCUGCCUGUUUUUGAGCAUACUGUCUUGCAAUUAAAUCUAUUAAUAACUCAGAAAAUUAUCCGAGUAAGAUAUUGGGCUUAAACUUUGAAAUAUUGUUUUCUUUCCUCCUAGGACUUCAUGUUUUCCCCACGUUUGUAAUAUAUGAACUCACAGUCUUACUAUUCCUUACACUGUCUGUGGUCAUAAUGAAGUUUGUCUUGGCAGUGCUUGUCCUUUCUCUGAUUCUUCCAAAGAC